Molecule: long non-coding RNA, 385 nt
Filed under: Fukomys damarensis (Damara mole-rat)
Lineage: Eukaryota; Metazoa; Chordata; Mammalia; Rodentia; Bathyergidae
Description: lncRNA (ENSFDAG00000023073.1)
Source: RNAcentral
GGGAGGAGGGAGGGAGUUCCUCCCGGCUGCAGGCUGAGGGUCUGGAGCCCAGAGGCGGGGCUGCGCCCCAGGAGGAGGUUCCUUUGGAGAGGGAAACGCCACUUCCUGGUGACCGCGGUGGCAGGGCCUCCUCUGGCCAGGCCACAUCAGGGAGGAAGAGGCAGGUGUCCCCUUCGACAGAAGCGGGGCAGGAAGGAGGCGGUGACAGGUGGGUGCGGGCGGCUCCCGGAGGAGUCGUCAGCCCCGGGAAGAGGUGGGCAGCUGGCAGCAGGCGGUUCCUUCCAAGAUUUGGAACAAAAAUCUAUCAAAUGAUACAUCGUUAUUACAGGGGAAAAAAGAAAUGGUGAGAGGGAAGGAAAAAAGGAGGAAAAAGAGGAAAUUGGCC